AGAGAAUAGAUACCCCGGUAGUCCCAGCCGUAAACGAUGCUCGCUAGGUGUCAGGCAUGGCGCGACCGUGUCUGGUGCCGCAGGGGAAGCCGUGAAGCGAGCCACCUGGGAAGUACGGCCGCAAGGCUGAAACUUAAAGGAAUUGGCGGGGAGCACAACAACGGGUGGAGCCUGCGGUUUAAUUGGACUCAACGCCGGACAACUCACCGGGGGCGGACAGCAAUAUGUAGGCCAAGCUGAAGAACUUUGUCCUGAAUCGCUGAGAGGAGGUGCAUGGCCGUCGCCAGUUCGUACUGUGAAGCAUCCUGUUAAGUCAGGCAACGAGCGAGACCCGUG
This 336-nucleotide ribosomal RNA is filed under the name uncultured bacterium. RNAcentral's name for it is "bacterial SSU rRNA". It matches the Rfam family "Archaeal small subunit ribosomal RNA", at positions 724 to 1056 of the family's 1478-position model. The record is from RNAcentral.